RNAcentral lists this long non-coding RNA (343 nucleotides) under Gossypium raimondii (Peruvian cotton). Its description in RNAcentral is "long non-coding RNA (GRAI_LNC010670)". Lineage: Eukaryota; Viridiplantae; Streptophyta; Magnoliopsida; Malvales; Malvaceae. The record is from RNAcentral.
GGGGAGGAAUAUUGUAUCAAAAAAAACUAUUGAAAGAAAAAGCAAUAGAAAACAGUUUUUAAAGGUGAUUCGAGUUAUUUUUCUUCCUUUUUUUUCGCUGCUGUUCUUUUUAUUUUUUUAUUUUUUAUUUUUUUUUGGUUGACUGAUUGUAAAAAAAAUAUAGAGAAAAAGGGGGCUUAGAACUCAUACCUGGAUCGCUGCGCCGCCGAAUCCCUCAUCCAUUCAAAUCAAAGUUGAAUGGGUGGAGGGCUUUCGAUUUUGAAGCGGCGUGAAGAGGGUAGUCUCAGGGGCUGAUUUUUGUUUGCUUAUAAACUGGCAUAGGGUUCUGAUUUUAGGGUUAUAA